This 2902-nucleotide ribosomal RNA is filed under the name Escherichia coli. RNAcentral's name for it is "bacterial LSU rRNA". It matches the Rfam family "Bacterial large subunit ribosomal RNA". The record is from RNAcentral. Lineage: Bacteria; Pseudomonadati; Pseudomonadota; Gammaproteobacteria; Enterobacterales; Enterobacteriaceae.
UUAAGCGACUAAGCGUACACGGUGGAUGCCCUGGCAGUCAGAGGCGAUGAAGGACGUGCUAAUCUGCGAUAAGCGUCGGUGAGGUGAUAUGAACCGUUAUAACCGGCGAUUUCCGAAUGGGGAAACCCAGUGUGUUUCGACACACUAUCAUUAACUGAAUCCAUAGGUUAAUGAGGCGAACCGGGGGAACUGAAACAUCUAAGUACCCCGAGGAAAAGAAAUCAACCGAGAUUCCCCCAGUAGCGGCGAGCGAACGGGGAGGAGCCCAGAGCCUGAAUCAGUGUGUGUGUUAGUGGAAGCGUCUGGAAAGGCGCGCGAUACAGGGUGACAGCCCCGUACACAAAAAUGCACAUAUUGUGAGCUCGAUGAGUAGGGCGGGACACGUGGUAUCCUGUCUGAAUAUGGGGGGACCAUCCUCCAAGGCUAAAUACUCCUGACUGACCGAUAGUGAACCAGUACCGUGAGGGAAAGGCGAAAAGAACCCCGGCGAGGGGAGUGAAAAAGAACCUGAAACCGUGUACGUACAAGCAGUGGGAGCCUCUUAAUGGGGUGACUGCGUACCUUUUGUAUAAUGGGUCAGCGACUUAUAUUCUGUAGCAAGGUUAACCGAAUAGGGGAGCCGAAGGGAAACCGAGUCUUAACUGGGCGUUAAGUUGCAGGGUAUAGACCCGAAACCCGGUGAUCUAGCCAUGGGCAGGUUGAAGGUUGGGUAACACUAACUGGAGGACCGAACCGACUAAUGUUGAAAAAUUAGCGGAUGACUUGUGGCUGGGGGUGAAAGGCCAAUCAAACCGGGAGAUAGCUGGUUCUCCCCGAAAGCUAUUUAGGUAGCGCCUCGUGAAUUCAUCUCCGGGGGUAGAGCACUGUUUCGGCAAGGGGGUCAUCCCGACUUACCAACCCGAUGCAAACUGCGAAUACCGGAGAAUGUUAUCACGGGAGACACACGGCGGGUGCUAACGUCCGUCGUGAAGAGGGAAACAACCCAGACCGCCAGCUAAGGUCCCAAAGUCAUGGUUAAGUGGGAAACGAUGUGGGAAGGCCCAGACAGCCAGGAUGUUGGCUUAGAAGCAGCCAUCAUUUAAAGAAAGCGUAAUAGCUCACUGGUCGAGUCGGCCUGCGCGGAAGAUGUAACGGGGCUAAACCAUGCACCGAAGCUGCGGCAGCGACACUAUGUGUUGUUGGGUAGGGGAGCGUUCUGUAAGCCUGUGAAGGUGGCCUGUGAGGGGUGCUGGAGGUAUCAGAAGUGCGAAUGCUGACAUAAGUAACGAUAAAGCGGGUGAAAAGCCCGCUCGCCGGAAGACCAAGGGUUCCUGUCCAACGUUAAUCGGGGCAGGGUGAGUCGACUCCUAAGGCGAGGCCGAAAGGCGUAGUCGAUGGGAAACAGGUUAAUAUUCCUGUACUUGGUGUUACUGCGAAGGGGGGACGGAGAAGGCUAUGUUGGCCGGGCGACGGUUGUCCCGGUUUAAGCGUGUAGGCUGGUUUUCCAGGCAAAUCCGGAAAACCAAGGCUGAGGCGUGAUGACGAGGCACUACGGUGCUGAAGUGACAAAUGCCCUGCUUCCAGGAAAAGCCUCUAAGCAUCAGGUAACAUCAAAUCGUACCCCAAACCGACACAGGUGGUCAGGUAGAGAAUACCAAGGCGCUUGAGAGAACUCGGGUGAAGGAACUAGGCAAAAUGGUGCCGUAACUUCGGGAGAAGGCACGCUGAUAUGUAGGUGAAGCGACUUGCUCGUGGAGCUGAAAUCAGUCGAAGAUACCAGCUGGCUGCAACUGUUUAUUAAAAACACAGCACUGUGCAAACACGAAAGUGGAGGUAUACGGUGUGACGCCUGCCCGGUGCCGGAAGGUUAAUUGAUGGGGUUAGCGGUAACGCGAAGCUCUUGAUCGAAGCCCCGGUAAACGGCGGCCGUAACUAUAACGGUCCUAAGGUAGCGAAAUUCCUUGUCGGGUAAGUUCCGACCUGCACGAAUGGCGUAAUGAUGGCCAGGCUGUCUCCACCCGAGACUCAGUGAAAUUGAACUCGCUGUGAAGAUGCAGUGUACCCGCGGCAAGACGGAAAGACCCCGUGAACCUUUACUAUAGCUUGACACUGAACAUUGAGCCUUGAUGUGUAGGAUAGGUGGGAGGCUUUGAAGUGUGGACGCCAGUCUGCAUGGAGCCGACCUUGAAAUACCACCCUUUAAUGUUUGAUGUUCUAACGUUGGCCCGUAAUCCGGGUUGCGGACAGUGUCUGGUGGGUAGUUUGACUGGGGCGGUCUCCUCCUAAAGAGUAACGGAGGAGCACGAAGGUUGGCUAAUCCUGGUCGGACAUCAGGAGGUUAGUGCAAUGGCAUAAGCCAGCUUGACUGCGAGCGUGACGGCGCGAGCAGGUGCGAAAGCAGGUCAUAGUGAUCCGGUGGUUCUGAAUGGAAGGGCCAUCGCUCAACGGAUAAAAGGUACUCCGGGGAUAACAGGCUGAUACCGCCCAAGAGUUCAUAUCGACGGCGGUGUUUGGCACCUCGAUGUCGGCUCAUCACAUCCUGGGGCUGAAGUAGGUCCCAAGGGUAUGGCUGUUCGCCAUUUAAAGUGGUACGCGAGCUGGGUUUAGAACGUCGUGAGACAGUUCGGUCCCUAUCUGCCGUGGGCGCUGGAGAACUGAGGGGGGCUGCUCCUAGUACGAGAGGACCGGAGUGGACGCAUCACUGGUGUUCGGGUUGUCAUGCCAAUGGCACUGCCCGGUAGCUAAAUGCGGAAGAGAUAAGUGCUGAAAGCAUCUAAGCACGAAACUUGCCCCGAGAUGAGUUCUCCCUGAGACUUAGAGUCUCCUGAAGGAACGUUGAAGACGACGACGUUGAUAGGCCGGGUGUGUAAGCGCAGCGAUGCGUUGAGCUAACCGGUACUAAUGAACCGUGAGGCUUAACCUU